Molecule: ribosomal RNA, 442 nt
Filed under: uncultured bacterium
Lineage: Bacteria
Description: partial 16S ribosomal RNA
Rfam family: Bacterial small subunit ribosomal RNA
Source: RNAcentral
CCUACGGGGGGCAGCAGUAGGGAAUCUUUCACAAUGGGCGAAAGCCUGAUGGAGCAACGCCGCGUGCAGGAUGAAGGCCUUCGGGUUGUAAACUGCUUUUAUAAGCGAGAAAUAUGAUGGUAACUUAUGAAUAAGGGUCGGCUAACUACGUGCCAGCAGCCGCGGUCAUACGUAGGAUCCGAGCAUUAUCCGGAGUGACUGGGUGUAAAGAGUUGCGUAGGUGGCAUAAUAAGUAGCUAGUGAAAUCUGGUGGCUCAACCAUUCAGACUAUUAGCUAAACUGUUAAGCUCGAGACCGUUAGGGGUAACUGGAAUUUCUAGUGUAGGAGUGAAAUCCGUAGAUAUUAGAAGGAACACCAAUAGCGUAGGCAGGUUGCUGGGACGGUUCUGACACUAAGGCACGAAAGCGUAGGGAGCAAACGGGAUUAGAUACCCCUGUAGUC